ACUCAAAGGAAUAGACGGGGGCCCGCACAAGCGGUGGAGCAUGUGGUUCAAUUCGAAGCAACGCGCAGAACCUUACCGACCCUUGACAUGUCCCGUGUGGGUUCCAGAGAUGGGACCCUUCAGUUCGGCUGGCGGGAACACAGGUGCUGCAUGGCUGUCGUCAGCUCGUGUCGUGAGAUGUUGGGUUAAGUCCCGCAACGAGCGCAACCCUCGCCCUUAGUUGCUACCAUUUAGUUGAGCACUCUAAGGGGACUGCCGGUGAUAAGCCGCGAGGAAGGUGGGGAUGACGUCAAGUCCUCAUGGCCCGUACGGGUCGGGCUACACACGUGCUACAAUGGCGGUGACAGUGGGAUGCAAUGGAGCAAUCCUGCGCAAAUCUCAAAAAGCCGUCUCAGUUCGGAUUGGGGUCUGCAACUCGACCCCAUGAAGUCGGAAUCGCUAGUAAUCGCAGAUCAGCACGCUGCGGUGAAUACGUUCCCGGGCCUUGUACACACCGCCCGU
This 501-nucleotide ribosomal RNA is filed under the name uncultured bacterium. Its description in RNAcentral is "partial 16S ribosomal RNA". It matches the Rfam family "Bacterial small subunit ribosomal RNA", at positions 899 to 1397 of the family's 1533-position model. The record is from RNAcentral.